CUUUGAUGCUGAAACCAGCUGCCAUGUUGGAGGAACCUGCAAGGCAAGAAAUCCAGGGCAGCUUCUAGUCAGCAUCCAGCAGAGAACUGGGUCCUCAGCCCAACGGCCCAAAAGGAAGUGAAACCUGCCAACAGCCACCGGAUGAGUUUGGAAGUAUAUCUUGUCCCAGUUGAACCUUGUGUUGACUGUAGCCCAACUGGAGUAAUUUUCAAUGCAGCAAUAGAUAAAGAAUAUACC
RNAcentral lists this long non-coding RNA (237 nucleotides) under Homo sapiens (human). Its description in RNAcentral is "non-protein coding lnc-KLHL25-9:8". The record is from RNAcentral. Lineage: Eukaryota; Metazoa; Chordata; Mammalia; Primates; Hominidae.